AGAGAGAGAGAUGACUGAAGUGGAGAUUUGCAGGGCAACAAAUGGUGGAGAGAAGUGUGGAGUGAGGAUGAUGAAUGAAGAAUCCAAAGUUCUGAAUUCAGAGAGUGAGAGAUGAAGAUGGAGGAAUGAGAAUGGUGGAGCAGAGAAGUGAAGGCAAACGGUGGAGCUGGGAUCGAGAGGCUUUGAAGUGAAGCAGAGUCCUGAUUUUAUAGAACCAAUUCUCAGGACUUUGAUGAAUGUAGAGAACUACCACAAAGGCUUCAGUUUGAAGAUGAAACAGUAGCAGCAACACCCUCCAGAAUAUAUGUUAAUUACAAAAGAUUAUGAGUGGAACCGAAGAGAAUUUUUGUGUGUUAUAUGAUGUUUAAUCUUGGAAUAUGGAGCUGAUGUAGAUUAGAUUAUUUGCAGCGAGUUCUUAUGUUAAAAUGAAGGAAAAAACGUCCUCUUGGAGUUUCUUAGGAGAUCAAAGUAGUUUUUGUAAAGCUCUUUUUUUUUGUAUUGUGUUUAUGUACAAGUGGUGUUGUGAUUGAACUUGUAACCUUUUUUUUUUCUCUUUUCUAGAUGUAACAAAGUCUGAUUGAGAUUGUGAUGUCUUUGUAUGCUAUGAUUUGUAAAGAGUGAUAGUAUUCUUCCUUGAAUCACAAAUUCCAUCCGUAUGAAUCUUGAAUGAAGACCUUUGAAUCAAACUUGUAUUCCAUAUUAAUUUACUCCAAGUUUAACA
Vicia villosa (hairy vetch) is the source of this 721-nucleotide long non-coding RNA. RefSeq lists it as uncharacterized. NCBI's taxonomy places the organism in Eukaryota, Viridiplantae, Streptophyta, Magnoliopsida, Fabales, Fabaceae. The record is from RefSeq and is a predicted model, not a curated record. The transcript has 2 exons.